UAGAGCACUUGGCAGUUCUAUGUGAUGC
RNAcentral lists this non-coding RNA (28 nucleotides) under Rattus norvegicus (Norway rat). The record is from RNAcentral. Lineage: Eukaryota; Metazoa; Chordata; Mammalia; Rodentia; Muridae.